RNAcentral lists this ribosomal RNA (404 nucleotides) under Arabidopsis thaliana (thale cress). Lineage: Eukaryota; Viridiplantae; Streptophyta; Magnoliopsida; Brassicales; Brassicaceae. The record is from RNAcentral.
GUUACAUCCCUCUUUUUUUUAAUUUAUUUUUUUUUUGGUUAAAACUUUAUGACUCUAUAACUUUUAUACCGUGAGGUCAAACUUGGCAUGUGCUACCUUUCAGAAAGCCCAAAGAGAGCCUUCCAACGAAAGAAGCAGGACAAAGGAACUUUUCCAUUGACUUUUUGUCGACCCCAAAUUUUGACCUUUAAGUACUUCUUCGGGUAUUUUUGUGAUUUGGGCUAUAUUACGGACCCAAAAUUACUUGUUCAAGCAUUGUUUUAGAAUUUUUCCAUGCAUCAAAGCUCGUUAAGACUAGAUGAGGUAUCCCUACACAGCGGGUGGAACCUAUGGUGAACGGUUCAUCAAGUUUUCAAAAAAGAAUAUAUACGAUUGCAUUGCAUAUACUAACGGAUGCGAUCAUA